Molecule: ribosomal RNA, 506 nt
Filed under: uncultured bacterium
Lineage: Bacteria
Description: partial 16S ribosomal RNA
Rfam family: Bacterial small subunit ribosomal RNA
Source: RNAcentral
GAUGAACGCUAGCUACAGGCUUAACACAUGCAAGUCGAGGGGUAACGAGAGGAAAGCUUGCUUUCCUUGUCGACGACCGGCGCACGGGUGAGUAACGCGUAUCCAACCUGCCCCCAACUAGGGAAUAACCUUGCGAAAGUAAGACUAAUACCCUAUAAUUUCCUCAGAUGACAUCUGACGAGGAAUAAAGAUUUAUCGGUUGUUGAUGGUGAUGCGUCUGAUUAGCUUGUUGGCGGGGUAACGGCCCACCAAGGCAACGAUCAGUAGGGGUUCUGAGAGGAGGGUCCCCCACAUUGGAACUGAGACACGGUCCAAACUCCUACGGGAGGCAGCAGUGAGGAAUAUUGGUCAAUGGGCGGAAGCCUGAACCAGCCAAGUAGCGUGCAGGAUGACGGCCCUAUGGGUUGUAAACUGCUUUUAUACAGGAAUAAAGUUAGCCACGUGUGGUUAUUUGUAGGUACUGUAUGAAUAAGGACCGGCUAAUUCCGUGCCAGCAGCCGCCGUAA